CCCAACCUCCGGAGGAGGAAAGGCCGCCCGGGCGCUACCCAACAACAAACCCGGAGGGGAAUGCGCACCUUGGAGCAGGCACGGAUACCGGAGGCAUGGGUGGUAUGGGUGGUCCUUGCUCCCCAUGCCCCGCGACUGUCCCCACGCAGCCUAGACGCUUUUCUUACGCCUGGAGUGCAGACAAGGCCACCUCUACUCAGAACCGCGCAGCACCUUCCCCUGGAACCUGCUGGCUCCUAGGAGUUGUUCUUUUGGUGCCUGACAAGUCACCGUUCUGCCCCUUCUAAGGUGGACUGACUGUUUGAAGGCACAAGCCAGAGACCGCGGCUUCAUGUUUUAAAACAAAUACAGUCCCUAAAAGUUGCUAAGGCCUCAACUUAAAAAAAAAAAAAAAAAAAAAAAAAAAAAAACCUCAAAAAACACGCAAAUGCCACCAACUUUUUUUUAAAGCAUAACUAAGUUUCUUUCGCAACAGUUUGAUUAUAUGCAUUUUAAUAGUUUUUGAGUCACUUCUUUCAAACUGUCUUCACUCUGAAGGAUCUAUAGAAAAAUUGCUUGGUCGCAAACAGGGACUACGGGUUUGAUGGUAAGCCUGGUGGCACUUGCUGGCACCUGCACCUGCAACACUGCCUCCCUAGUAAUUUUCCGUGACUUUGUGCAGCAACAGACACUGCACUUCACCGAUCAUUUUCCUGGCCCUCAGCAAAUGAAUCCUGCUGACUGCCCAUCUGAUGUCCAUGGAUGUUCACAAACUCCAGUUCUACAAUCAACCAUGGUCUACAGACCUCCUUGGUACUGUGGGGACCCUCCUAAUCAGCUCACUUCAGUGGCUUGGUGAGUGGUAGCCUGUGUGCUUAGGAUAUACCUUCUGUCAAGUCUUGGCAACAGAAGAUAAAGCAUUAGCGGAAAAAAGCAUUCAGAUGUAACCCCCCAACACCUCCUCUUAAUUACCUUCCCAUCACCUUUCAUACCCUUAGGAUAGAGAAAUAAACACGAAAUCCUCCCUCA
This 1008-nucleotide long non-coding RNA is filed under the name Mus spicilegus (steppe mouse). Its description in RNAcentral is "lncRNA (ENSMSIG00000020459.1)". The record is from RNAcentral. Lineage: Eukaryota; Metazoa; Chordata; Mammalia; Rodentia; Muridae.